This 568-nucleotide ribosomal RNA is filed under the name Lipomyces japonicus. RNAcentral describes it as "eukaryotic LSU rRNA". It matches the Rfam family "Eukaryotic large subunit ribosomal RNA", at positions 62 to 648 of the family's 3401-position model. Lineage: Eukaryota; Fungi; Ascomycota; Lipomycetes; Lipomycetales; Lipomycetaceae. The record is from RNAcentral.
AAACCAACAGGGAUUGCCUUAGUAACUGCGAGUGAAGCGGCAAGAGCUCAAAUUUGAAAUCUGGCACCUUCGGUGUCCGAGUUGUAAUUUGUAGAAGCAUCUUUUGAAUUGGUCCUUGCAUAUGUUCCUUGGAACAGGACAUCAUAGAGGGUGAGAAUCCCGUUCAUGGUGGGGAAACCAAUUCUUUGUAAAGUGCUUUCGAAGAGUCGAGUUGUUUGGGAAUGCAGCUCUAAGUGGGUGGUAAAUUCCAUCUAAAGCUAAAUAUUGGCGAGAGACCGAUAGCGAACAAGUACAGUGAUGGAAAGAUGAAAAGUACUCCGAAAGGAGAGUGAAAAAGGACGUGAAAUUGUUGAAAGGGAAGUGCUUGAGAUCAGUCUUAGGUUUUAGUGAUCAAUCUUCCUUUUGGUUGGUGCACUCACUAUUGCUUAGGCCAGCAUCAGUUUUAGUGACAGGAUAAUGACCUUGGAAUGUGGCUCUUUCGGGAGUGUUAUAGACUUGGUUGAUACUGUCUACUGAGACUGAGGACCGCGCUUUUAGCUAGGAUGCUGGCAUAAUGAUCUUAAGCAGC